Molecule: long non-coding RNA, 404 nt
Filed under: Helianthus annuus (common sunflower)
Lineage: Eukaryota; Viridiplantae; Streptophyta; Magnoliopsida; Asterales; Asteraceae
Source: RNAcentral
UUUCACCACUAGAAGCAGCUGUUGAGAUUAUUAUCAGAGCUACUCGUAUACUCAAAAUGUUUUAUUUUAGGUGAUUGUUGAUCCGCUUGUCAAAGAGAACAUCGACUAUGUAGCGAAUUUGUUGACGGUUUCAAUUUGGGGGCAACGGUUUCACCAAAGAAAAUAUUCUAUUCUAGGUUUCAAACUUCAAAGCCCAAGUUGUGCACUCUUUCUUGGUUGGAAUAAAGGAUCUGUUGGCCGUUCAAAAAACAAACCAAAUUCAUAUCAUUUGUAUUCCUGUUUAAUCUUAAUCAGCAACCUUAUUUCUAAAUUUGCUUUUCCAUUUUUAUGAAAUAUUUAUUGUAGUGUCAUGUUAUUAUAUUGAAUUUUUAAUCAUAUUCGUAUAUUUUGUAAUUACAUUUUAG